Molecule: long non-coding RNA, 1704 nt
Organism: Hyla sarda
Lineage: Eukaryota; Metazoa; Chordata; Amphibia; Anura; Hylidae
Exons: 2
Source: RefSeq, a predicted model, not a curated record
ACGUUUUGACUGUCUGCACAGUCUUUAUCAAGCAUGUAUAUGUACAUGUAUAUACAUACACAUAUCUAUAUAUAUAUAUAUAUAUAUAUACAUAUAUAUAUAUUUCCUCAUCGUCCCCUACGGCAGCACAGAAGGGUAAUGCGGUCUCCAGACCACCCACCAGGACCGCCCAUCCAGAUAUUAGCAUAAAUAAUUAUUUUAAUUAACCAAGGUACCAUACCUAUAAAACAACCCCGCAAACUCCCGCACGCUGCCCAUCUAUUCAAGAUUUUGUACAGCCCUGCAGGGUCUUGGCUGCAUCUAUGUCCGUGAGUAUAUGCCAGUGCGGGGUCCUGGCUCUGUCCUGCCACGGUCUGUCGGCGGCAUGGCAGGACUAUAGCCAGUGCGGGAUCCUGGCUUUUAGGAGGUUCCAGUGCGGGGUCCUGGUCUCCGUUAACGGCAGUGUGUUCCAGAGGAAAGAUUGCCGGUGAAGUAUCCUAGCCGUUAUACUCAUGUCUGCUGCCUGCCGCCGCCGCCUAAAGAGGGAUGCUGCGCUGCGCUGUAAGUCUCUGGACCACGGUAAGUGUCAGCCGCUCUCCGGCUUAAUUAUUAUUUGUGAUCAGGGCUUACACAUUCGUGCUCGUGAUAACCAUGAUAUAUAUUUACUUGUAAUGUACACAUUAUAACCUUUAACAUAUCGGUCUGGAGUGUCCCCAAUGACCGCGACAGAGGCCACACCUUUAGAGGGCAUGCCCUGUAAUGUAUGAAAUGAAGAAAUGAAAAGAUGGAAAAAAGAGAGGGAGGGUUGGGAGGGGUCCUCAAAAUGUCACGAACGCCACCUGAUAGGGGGCAGGGGCUAUAUAUAUAUCCCUGCCCCCGCCCACAACCCCUUAUGUGCCACCUUGAUGUGUAGGGGGGUUGGAGAUGUUACCGCCCAUAUCACAAAUACAGCCUAAUUAGGCUUUACACUUGUGAUCAGGGCUUACACAUUCCUGCUUGUGAUAACCAUGAUAUAUAUUUACUUGUAAUGUACACAUUAUAAACUUUUAACAUAUCGGUCUGGAGUGUGUCCAAUGACCGCAACGGAGGCCGCACCUUUAGAGGGCAAAAGUCAAUCUGGUAGGGAAUCAAAUGUUGUAAUCAUGACCAAUGCCCCUACCUUAGCACAAAUCCAAGAUAUAGUCCCGACAUUGAGACAGAAAAUAGGUGAAGCAAACUGACUGGCACAGGGAUCGAUGCCUGGAAACUGAAGAGUUGUGACAGUCAUGCCUCCUCUACACCGAAACCAGAGUUCGGCACUUGAACAGGGUCAGGCUAAACCCAAACCGAUAUCUGCUUGUAGCAUGCGGCCUAACCUCAUUGCAAGAGUGAAACACUAUGACCUGUCGGCCCAAUGAAUCCCAUCAUAUUCCUGCUAAUGAGUGGCAAAAUAGAAACUGUUAGCUAAAUAGGCACAACCAUCGACACCCGAUCGACCUUGGCGGUAACCGCCUUAUUGCCUGAAGAUCAACAAUAUCCGACUACCUUACCUGAAACUAAAUCAAUCCCAAUGCCCCAUUCCUAACUCCACUAGCCUCAUGAGUGGUGUCCCAUUACGAUAAACCCGCCCUAUUGCCAUUAUGUCUGACAUUACCAUUAUUGGUGAAUGCCGAAACUUCUGCUGAACCUAGUCGACGUAUAUAUCACCCUAUACAGUAACCCCCCCGAGCUGCGAUGGCCCCGACA